CUCUGUGACUCCUACGGGAGGCAGCAGUGGGGGAAUAUUGCACAAUGGGCGCAAGCCUGAUGCAGCAACGCCGUGUGAGUGAAGAAGGUUUUCGGAUCGUAAAACUCUGUCCCUAAGGGAAGAAACAAAUGACGGUACCUUAGGAGGAAGCCCCGGCUAACUACGUGCCAGCAGCCGCGGUAAUACGUAGGGGGCAAGCGUUAUCCGGAAUCACUGGGCGUAAAGGGUGCGUAGGCGGCUUAGCAAGCCAGGGGUGAAAGGCAUUGGCUCAACCAAUGUAAGCCUUUGGAACUGUUAAGCUUGAGUGCAGGAGAGGUAAGUGGAAUUCCUAGUGUAGAGGUGAAAUUCGUAGAUAUUAGGAGGAACACCAGUGGCGAAGGCGACUUACUGGACUGUAACUGACGCUGAUGCACGAAAGCGUGGGUAGCGAACAGGAUUAGAUACCCUGGUAG
Molecule: ribosomal RNA, 452 nt
Filed under: uncultured bacterium
Lineage: Bacteria
Description: bacterial SSU rRNA
Rfam family: Bacterial small subunit ribosomal RNA
Source: RNAcentral